CUCGUGCAACCGCUAGAGAGGGACGCAACUGUUCAGUUCUCCUGACAUUUGCUUGAACAUUGUCCAUAAAUAGUUCAGUUCUAGUAUUUAAUAAUUUUUGUUAGUGUAAAGUUUAGAGGGCACUGUAGUGUCAUAUUUAUAUAUAUUUAGUUUGUAUAUUAGAUUUAGUUUAUAUUAGAGGCGAGAGGAGAGGAGAGAGAGGGGAUUAGGGAGCAGCCAUGAGCUGCAUCCCGUUCACCAUCCGUUGGCCAUUCGGCAAGAGGGAGGUGAUGCCGAAAGAUGAGCCACAACCAGCUCUGGAGAGGCACAAGCCUAUGACACCGCAGUCAAAACAACAGCCCUCUGCCCCAAGGACAUGGCAAGAGCCCCUGGCCCCCAGGGCACAGCUAGAGCCACCACAACCCCGGGCAAGACAACAGCCCCCAGCCCCUAGGGCACGGCAGGAGCCCCCACCACCACGGGCAAGACAACAGCCUCCGGCCCCCCGGGCAAGGCAACAACCCCCAGUCCCUAGGGCACGGCAACAGCCCCCAGCCCAUAGGGGACGGCAGGAGCCCCCACCACCGCGGGCAAGACAACAGCCUCCGGCCCCUCGGGCAAGACAACAGCCCCCACCACCGCGGGCAAGAGAGGCACCCAUGCCAUAGAGGCAAGUGGCCUAAUAUUAUCACCUGAGAAGGCAUGCCCUACUAACAUCAGAGGCAUGCGCCCCCAACCACCACCAACGGAGAGGCACGCCCUCCACCACCAACGGAGAGGCACACCCCCCACCACCAUCGGGGAGGCACACACCCCCACCACCAUCGGGGAGGCACACCCCCACCACCAUCGGGGAGGCACACCCCCACCACCAUCGGGGAGGUGCUUGCAGACACAUAAUGUAUUUAUAAUUACAAUUUCCUAAUAAAAUGUUUAUGCAUUAUGA
Long non-coding RNA from Pseudophryne corroboree (corroboree frog), 925 nucleotides. RefSeq lists it as uncharacterized. The record is from RefSeq and is a predicted model, not a curated record. NCBI's taxonomy places the organism in Eukaryota, Metazoa, Chordata, Amphibia, Anura, Myobatrachidae. The transcript is spliced from 2 exons.